RNAcentral lists this transfer RNA (72 nucleotides) under Candidatus Pacearchaeota archaeon. Its description in RNAcentral is "tRNA-Val". It matches the Rfam family "tRNA". Rfam says of the family: Transfer RNA (tRNA) molecules are approximately 80 nucleotides in length. Lineage: Archaea; Nanobdellati. The record is from RNAcentral.
GGUCCCGUGGUCUACUGGCAUGACGUCUCCUUUACACGGAGAAGAUAGCAGGUUCAAUUCCUGUCGGGACCA